Molecule: ribosomal RNA, 427 nt
Filed under: uncultured bacterium
Lineage: Bacteria
Description: bacterial SSU rRNA
Rfam family: Bacterial small subunit ribosomal RNA
Source: RNAcentral
UGGGGAAUUUUGGACAAUGGACGCAAGUCUGAUCCAGCCAUGCCGCGUGCGGGAAGAAGGCCUUCGGGUUGUAAACCGCUUUUGUCAGGGAAGAAACGAGUUUCUCUAAUACAGAGACUUAAUGACGGUACCUGAAGAAUAAGCACCGGCUAACUACGUGCCAGCAGCCGCGGUAAUACGUAGGGUGCAAGCGUUAAUCGGAAUUACUGGGCGUAAAGCGUGCGCAGGCGGUUAUGCAAGACAGAGGUGAAAUCCCCGGGCUCAACCUGGGAAUUGCAUUGGAGACUGCAAGGCUAGAAUCUGGCAGAGGGGGGUAGAAUUCCGCGUGUAGCAGUGAAAUGCGUAGAUAUGCGGAGGAACACCGAUGGCGAAGGCAAUCCCCUGGACCUAUACUGACGCUCAUGCACGAAAGCGUGGGGAGCAAACA